GAGCCAGGCUGCACUGUGGGCACUCAAAAACCAGAAGGGCAGAUAGAAAAAAAUAGUGGAUCCUCUGAAAGUGCCCAGAUGAGGAAGAGAGCCUGGGGCCAUGGGGAUGCGCAGAACAGCCUGUCUGUCUCUCUCAGUCAAUUCUGAUGACUCCUUGCACCCGUAGGGUGACAGCCAACUUCACAGGGAGGCCCAGAAGUCUGGACUGGGUACUCUGAAGUCCAGAUUGAGGACAGGACUUGCCUGAAGUCUCGCAGCAAGCUGGAGUGCAAUGGUACAAUCACAGCUCACUGCAGCCUCCACCUCCCAGGCUUAAGCCAUCCUCCGAUCUGAGCCUCCCAAAGUGCUGGGAUUACAGGAGUGCGUCACUGUGCCCGGCCCCAUCAUCAUUUAUUGAGUACUGAUUCUGGGCAGGGGGACACACUAACUGCUGAAAGGACACCAGAUCUGAAUCCGUCCCUGUCCUCAAGAAGCUCCAGGCUUAGGGAGGGAUGAGACAUACGCGUGAGAAAGCUCAGACCCCAGUCACAACAGCCUGGGUGUGAAUCUCCACUCUGCAUUUCCUGCUGUGAGUCAUCAAGCAAACCACGCAACCUCUGAGCCUCUGCUAUGUCCUGCGUGCAAUGGGGAGAAGAGUCCCUACCCUGACAUCACACUUCCAAGGCACAGGCACUGUCUGUCCUGAGCACCUCAUUUCAGGCUCCAAGCUCAGGAAACGCUCGCUCGCUACUGGAGGAAUGUUACAUCUUGAAGCAGCCUUGGCUCUGUCUGGGGAGGAUGACGUCACAGCUGCUGAGGAAGAAACCACGCCCAGCCGGCAGAACCCCAGAGGGCCCACCCGAGAGCUCCAAAGAAGUAGGAGGAACCAGAGGUCACAUCGCUCAGGAGGAAGAAACCUGCAUUGGCCAAGAGAGGCAUCCUACAGAGAGGCCCAGUGAUGGCUAUACUGAGACCAGAGGUGUCAAAUUAAGAGUUGUACUGGCUUCUGUCGUGUGGAAACAGCUGUGCUCUGGUGGCAGGGGCAAUGCCCUUUGCCAGAGAAAACCUGGCCUGCCCCACCGCUUCCGGGCUGGUGACUUGGGCCUGUGGCUCGGCUUCCUUAAGGCUCAGUGUUUUUGUCUGAAAUUGAGAUGGGGCCGGGUGCGGUGGCUUAUGCCUGUAAUCCCAGCACUUUGGGUGACUGAGGCGGAAGGAUCGCUUGAGCUCAGGAGUUUGAGACCAGCCUGAGCAAUACA
Molecule: long non-coding RNA, 1235 nt
Organism: Homo sapiens (human)
Lineage: Eukaryota; Metazoa; Chordata; Mammalia; Primates; Hominidae
Source: Ensembl